RNAcentral lists this ribosomal RNA (708 nucleotides) under uncultured bacterium. Its description in RNAcentral is "bacterial SSU rRNA". It matches the Rfam family "Bacterial small subunit ribosomal RNA", at positions 54 to 745 of the family's 1533-position model. The record is from RNAcentral.
CAUGCAAGUCGAACGGUAACGACUUCAUUACCUUCGGGUAAUGAAGGGCGACGAGUGGCGGACGGGUGAGUAACGCAUAGGAAUCUGCCCAGUAGUGGGGGACAACUCCGGGAAACCGGAGCCAAUACCGCAUACGCCCUACGGGGGAAAGCGGGGGAUCUUCGGACCUCGCGCUAUUGGAUGAGCCUAUGUCUGAUUAGCUUGUUGGUAGGGUAACGGCCUACCAAGGCAACGAUCAGUAGCUGGUCUGAGAGGAUGAUCAGCCACACUGCGACUGAGACACGGCGCAGACUCCUACGGGAGGCAGCAGUGGGGAAUAUUGCACAAUGGGCGCAAGCCUGAUGCAGCAAUGCCGCGUGUGUGAAGAAGGCCUGCGGGUUGUAAAGCACUUUCAGUAGCGAAGAAAAGCCUGAGGUUAAUAGCCUCGAGUCUUGACGUUAGCUACACAAGAAGCACCGGCUAACUCCGUGCCAGCAGCCGCGGUAAUACGGAGGGUGCGAGCGUUAAUCGGAAUUACUGGGCGUAAAGCGCGCGUAGGCGGUUUGGUAAGUCGGAUGUGAAAUCCCCGGGCUCAACCUGGGAAUUGCAUUCGAUACUGCCUGACUAGAAUGUGAUAGAGGUAAGUGGAAUUCCCGGUGUAGCGGUGAAAUGCGUAGAUAUCGGGAGGAACAUCAGUGGCGAAGGCGGCUUACUGGAUCAACAUUGACG